Molecule: long non-coding RNA, 389 nt
Organism: Spea bombifrons (plains spadefoot toad)
Lineage: Eukaryota; Metazoa; Chordata; Amphibia; Anura; Pelobatidae
Exons: 2
Source: RefSeq, a predicted model, not a curated record
UAGAUUGUAUCCUGCUGUUUGUGUGUUUUUGGUUAUCAGUGUAGCAGAGCCUGUCCUUGGGUGUGUGUGUAUCGGUGUUGGUGUGGCAGAGCCUGUCCUGGUGUGUGUAUAGGUGUUGGUGUGGCAGAGCCUGUCCUGAUGUGUGUGUUCAGUUGUCAGUGUGGCAGAGCCUGUCCUAGGGUGUGUGUUUGGAUGUCAGUGUGUCAGAGCCUGUCCUGGUGUGUGUGUGUCUGUGUGACAGAGCCUGUCCUGGUGUGUGUGUGUGUUUGGUUGUCGGUGUGACAGAGCCUGUGUUGGAAUGUGUGCCCUCCUGAAGUUGUAGUGACUUCAGGGGACAAAACGUUCAAAACGACAAAACGUUCAAGGCCCUGAAAUCAUUUAGUGGAAAA